CGAAAUCGGUAGACGCUACGGACUUAAAAUCCGUCGACUUUAGAAAUCGUGAGGGUUCAAGUCCCUCUAUCCCCAG
This 76-nucleotide transfer RNA is filed under the name Allium cepa (onion). RNAcentral's name for it is "partial tRNA-Leu". It matches the Rfam family "tRNA", at positions 11 to 71 of the family's 71-position model. From Rfam's summary of the family: Transfer RNA (tRNA) molecules are approximately 80 nucleotides in length. Their secondary structure includes four short double-helical elements and three loops (D, anti-codon, and T loops). RNAcentral also lists the same sequence under 2 other names. The record is from RNAcentral. Lineage: Eukaryota; Viridiplantae; Streptophyta; Magnoliopsida; Asparagales; Amaryllidaceae.